GUAUACAGCCAUGACACCUUGAACGUGCCCGCCCGAUCCUGUCUGAUCUCGGAAGCUAAGCAGGGUUGGGCCUGGUUAGUACUUGGAUUGGAGACCACCUAGGAAGACUAGGUGCUGUAGGUG
RNAcentral lists this ribosomal RNA (123 nucleotides) under Pteropus alecto (black flying fox). Lineage: Eukaryota; Metazoa; Chordata; Mammalia; Chiroptera; Pteropodidae. The record is from RNAcentral.